Long non-coding RNA from Caretta caretta (loggerhead turtle), 3395 nucleotides. RefSeq lists it as uncharacterized. Lineage: Eukaryota; Metazoa; Chordata; Testudines; Cheloniidae. The record is from RefSeq and is a predicted model, not a curated record.
CAGAGCUCAAUAAGAGCCAAAAUUAACCACUGAAGCAAAGCUCUGCACGAGCCUCCUCACAUUUUAGUAUUCAUCCUGCAUUCCCAGAUCUAUGACUCUUCCCUGCUACUGCAGUGGAUGCUGCUGGCUGCCAUGGCAGCAAACAUCCUGGUGAUUUAAACCGGAGACAUAGAAGCCUCUGUCUAGUUUAAAAUGCCACAGGUUUCAAGACACCGCUUCACCUGACUGGGCCGCUACAAUAUUAGCCCUAGCUCGCACUGAAAUACUAUUUUUCUCCCUGGAAGCUCUUCUCUGAAGGGGGAGGUGAAAGGGCUUGAGGGUACCCCACAGGAAGGAAGUCCCAAGUGCGCCUUCCUGGGUUCUCAAGAGGGUUUUGCACUUGGGUGGUGGCAACAUCUACCAAUCCAAGGUCAGAGAGAAGCUGUAACCUUGGGAAUUUAAUACAGCCUAGAGUGAAGCAGACACUCCAUUAAGACGGAUACUCUGACUAAAAUCCCUCCAAAGGAUAUAGCAUCCAGGGGAGGGAAGAAGGAAAAAGAUCAGCUGACUUAGCCCAUAUGAGCCAACUCACUGCAAUCCUCUAGCAUUGUCGUGUUUAGAUUUUUGAUAUGUGUUAUGUACUCAGGGUCGACAUGUCCUAAUCAAAGCUAUCAUAAAGUAAACUCUAACUCGGGCAGAAUGACUUUGUGGGUGAAACUCUGGCUCUACUGAAGUCAAUGGCAAAACUCCCAUUGGCUUCAACAGGGUCAGAAUUUCGCCUCAUGUGAAUUCUUCCUUACGGGAUACACCCCUACUUAUUUAUAAGUUACAAAUGAACCUCAAAAAGGGUCCAAGAACUGUCAAGGUGUGUGUAAAGGUUUGGGCCAGAUCUGAGUUUGGGUCCAUUCUUGGUUGCAUUGGAGCAGGAUUGGGCACUUGAAUCUGUAAAUUUAUGUCCAUCCCUGAUAGUAACUCAAUUGGAAACCAUGUUAAUUAUACAGUAACUGAAGUUUCAAUUAAUACCAAUUCCUGAUAACAUGUGUCAAUGUGUGUAAACUGUGUAAAUAACCCUGUGUAAUGUAUUCAAACUCAUACAGCAUAUAUUGAGUCAUGCUGAAGAGAACUAUGCACUACUAGUGGUCUGAGCACAGGCCUGACAGUCCGCAGCUCCUGAGUUCUGAUGCCUCCUCACACAAUCACUUCCUUGUGCAAGCAAUUUAACUUCUCUGCCUCAGCUUACUUAUCUGUAAUAUAUUCAUAUUUACCAUACAGGAAGGUUAUCAGAAUGGUCACUUAAUAUUAUGAAAGCACUAUACACUGGUAUUACUCGGGCUGCUAGCAUUAAUUUGUCUCGUUGUAUAGUGCCCAUGGCAAAGACCAUACAUUAAAAAUAGAGCUUUCAGUUCCCUGUGCUGUGCUGUGCUGCUGUGGAAAAACAACUUUUCAAGUUACUUUAGUAGCAAGUGCUAAAUAUUAUUAUUUAGUAGUAGUAGUACUAUUAGAAAGAAAGUUUGUUUCAUACAUAUUUUCUAUACAUUCAUGCCAGACAAGUUCUUAGAUAUGAAAAUGUUUCUAUUUAAACUGGUCACAGAAACAUUAAACAAUAUACACAUCACAAUAAUUAACUUUAAAACCAGUUUGGUGCAGUUUUUUUCUCUUUAGGCAAAGGAACUGAUAUGGUGGAUUCUGAUACACUUUUCUGUUUGUCCUUUUAGGAUCCUAGAUGAAAUAUUUUACUAUCCCAGCACUCACUAUAGUUGUUUUUCCUCAUUAACUUCUGCUUUCAUAUAUAUGUCUGUAAAAUAAACUUGAUUUGUCUUAUGUUUUCAUAUAAAAUCAAUGUAUUCAGAUCUUUGCUGCUGUUAUCUGAAGUAAGAAAAAAGAGCAGAGACAGAAAAUUUAAAAUAUAGUACUCGGUAUUUAUGCAACAUUACAUUUUCUAUAUCCUGUAAAAUGAAUCGAAUGAUUAUAUACAAACAAAGCAGCCCUUAUUCUCUUUCAAGUGAUGACUUCACUAAAAAUCUCAUCAAGGUUCUUAUUCUGUGCAGGAAAGAAAUGGGAAAGUAAAGAAAUCCAUCACAGAAAAAGCCACAUAAAUGUGCAUUGCAAGGCAAGCCUUAGCAGUCCAAAGACAGUUUGCAAGCAAUGAGCUGAGAAAAACUAGCAUCUACAACUAUGGAAAAAAGUUUCCCACCUUUAAUCAUUCAUUCCUCCAUAUGCUGUUGUUUCAACUGCAAACUUAUGUCAAAAUCAUGUUUCAUUUCUAAAACCUAAACUAUUGUACAUACCUUCAUUCAAGCAGCCACACCUCCUACUUCAUAAGUCCACUAUAGUAUUUGUGAACUAUAUAUUGUCUGCUCAGUACAUAUCCUGUACGCUUUAUGGAUGUAAUCUGCAUGUCUUGCCAUAAGCAAGCUGAUGAUAAAAUAAAAUCAACUACAGAGCUAUCCAAAAUACUUGUCCCUAAUAGUAAAAAUAAUGAAAUAACUAUCAAAAGGAUGGAUUUAUAUCUUCAGAUGCUGCUAGGGGCAAAGCAUGUUCAUCAGAAUUUUGCAGAAAAAAUCUGGAUAGUUGCCUGUUGCUUAGAUGAAGAACAUUCACUGCAUAUUUGUUCCUCCCACAGACCCCAAGGAUGCAAAUGGGUAUUAUGCAUAUUGUAUCAUUUUCGACUAUAUUCUAACCCAGAGAUAUGAAUAGAAUGCCGUUCAUUACACAGAGAAGAAAGGGGCCUGGAGUAGUUACACAACUCAGAAUACUGAAUUUUCAGAUUCUUCUUGUUGCAAUAAAGAAUAAAGAGGGACAUUUUCUAGAAAAACUGCUCCACAUGCCAGGGAGGAGAUCAAGAAGUGAUGGGGAUGAAGAGGAGAACAUAAGCAAUUAAAUCAGUAGAUAGAAUAGCAGCUUGUAAUUAAAGAUGAAGCAAAAUAUGAAACUUGAAUCCUAACCCCUUCAAAAUUUUCAGAAAAUGGGUUUAAACUUCAAUCUCCAGGUCCGAACUCACCUCUCAGUUUAUGGUUCUGGUCUGGUUAUGCAACCCAAAGAUUUUGGUUCUAAAUCCCAUACAAACUGCUGACUCCGCAGAGCAUCUGAUCCAAAGCACACUGAAGUCAAUGGGAUUUGGAUCAGGCUCAGUAUUUCCCCCAUGAAACAUCAAGUCACCUUUUAUUUCACAGCGAAUCUCAUGAGAUUUUCACCAAUGAGGGUAAAAAUAUUGCAAUAACUGUUCACAAGAUUUCAGUGCUGACUAGUCCAAACCCACAUUUUAGCCCUGAUUCAGCUAUGAACCUGAACCUAAUCUCAACACCACCUUCCUGGCCCAUCUUUAAUUAUCAUUUUUGUGUUACACAUGGGAUUGUUUCUUUUCUGCUUUCAGACUUUGUGUGUUGUCUAUAAACAGUCACUGGUGGCUUUUCAGC